Molecule: ribosomal RNA, 495 nt
Filed under: uncultured bacterium
Lineage: Bacteria
Description: partial 16S ribosomal RNA
Rfam family: Bacterial small subunit ribosomal RNA
Source: RNAcentral
GAUGAACGCUGGCGGCGUGCCUAAUACAUGCAAGUCGAGCGAACAGAUGAGGAGCUUGCUCCUCUGACGUUAGCGGCGGACGGGUGAGUAACACGUGGAUAACCUACCUAUAAGACUGGGAUAACUUCGGGAAACCGGAGCUAAUACCGGAUAAUAUAUUGAACCGCAUGGUUCAAUAGUGAAAGACGGUUUUGCUGUCACUUAUAGAUGGAUCCGCGCCGCAUUAGCUAGUUGGUAAGGUAACGGCUUACCAAGGCAACGAUGCGUAGCCGACCUGAGAGGGUGAUCGGCCACACUGGAACUGAGACACGGUCCAGACUCCUACGGGAGGCAGCAGUAGGGAAUCUUCCGCAAUGGGCGAAAGCCUGACGGAGCAACGCCGCGUGAGUGAUGAAGGUCUUCGGAUCGUAAAACUCUGUUAUUAGGGAAGAACAAAUGUGUAAGUAACUAUGCACGUCUGGACGGUACCUAAUCAGAAAGCCACGGCUAACUACG